RNAcentral lists this ribosomal RNA (459 nucleotides) under uncultured bacterium. Its description in RNAcentral is "partial 16S ribosomal RNA". It matches the Rfam family "Bacterial small subunit ribosomal RNA", at positions 338 to 795 of the family's 1533-position model. The record is from RNAcentral.
CCUACGGGAGGCAGUAGUGAGGAAUAUUGGUCAAUGGGAGAGAUCCUGAACCAGCCAAGCCGCGUGAGGGAAGACGGCCCUAUGGGUUGUAAACCUCUUUUGUCGGAGAACAAAACCCGGGACGUGUCCCGGACUGCGUGUAUCCGAAGAAAAAGCAUCGGCUAACUCCGUGCCAGCAGCCGCGGUAAUACGGAGGAUGCGAGCGUUAUCCGGAUUUAUUGGGUUUAAAGGGUGCGUAGGCGGUCAGUUAAGUCAGCGGGAAAAUUGCGGGGCUCAACCCCGUCGAGCCGUUGAAACUGGCAGACUUGAGUUGGCGAGAAGUACGCGGAAUGCGCGGUGUAGCGGUGAAAUGCAUAGAUAUCGCGCAGAACUCCGAUUGCGAAGGCAGCGUACCGGCGCCAGACUGACGCUGAGGCACGAAAGCGUGGGGAUCGAACAGGAUUAGAUACCCUAGUAGUC